Long non-coding RNA from Prunus persica (peach), 1016 nucleotides. RefSeq lists it as uncharacterized. The record is from RefSeq and is a predicted model, not a curated record. The transcript has 2 exons. Lineage: Eukaryota; Viridiplantae; Streptophyta; Magnoliopsida; Rosales; Rosaceae.
CAAUUCAGUCUGAGAUCUCAGCUACUUGAUAAUCUCAUCUCAGUCUCUCACCCUCACCUUUGUUUGAAGCUCUCAUCUCACUUUCACUCACCAAUGCUUCCUGUUUCUGUGUUAGCUGAUCGUUUUGAUUUUCCAUUGGGUCAGUCUUUUGAAAUCAAUCUGCAAUUUCCAACUGGAUUUUUCUGGGUUUUCAAGGAACCCUAGAUCCAGCUUCAAAUUGCUUACAUGUGCUGGUUAAACCCAUAAUUUAACUGGAAGCAAGGUGGGCAGAGGCUUCAAACAAAGAUGCAUGUUUCUCUUCCUUUUGGUUUGCUGAGAUGCAUGACCGUCCAACCAUCUUAGCUAUUGCUGGAAGAGUAUACUUAAGUGUUAUAAUACCCAGGAGUUAAUCAAUCGAACAUUAUGUAUUGAUUAAGCUUGAACAAGUCUUAGUUCUAUAAUUUUGAAAAACAAUGUGCACUAUGUAGGAGAGAUCUGUGACUGAUCUCAAAACAAGAGCUGCUAUCUUCAGGUUUUUGUCCAACCCCGAACACUUUGUAUCCUUGUUGAUGAUAGGAAUGUGCAGGGGAAAAGGAUGUUGUAAAGAACAAAUAUUGCAUGUAAGGCACCAUACUGUCUGGUUAUCCAAAUCCAAAUUCACUGAUUACUGUGGAAAUUUUUCCAUAAAAAUAUGGAGAUAGAUGAAGCGAAAAAUAAUCAUAAAUAGAGGGCAGUGGCCAUUUCCUUCUGAAGUGGAACAUAUGUGUGCUUUCUCUAUUUUAUUAGAUCCUUAAUUCCCACGCAUUCCUAUUAUCAACAAUGAUACGAAAGGCAAUGGGAUUGGACAAAAAUUCGAAGAUAGCAACUCCUGGUUUAUGAUCCGUCAUAGAUGUCUCUUAUAUAGUGGACAUUAUUUUUCACAUUUAUAUAAUUAUGACCUUUUCCAGUUUAGUCGAUAUAUUUCCUUUGAGGGGUUGCUCCUAUGUAUUAUUGAACUUAAAAGUAUAUAAAAUUGUGCGAGGAUUAAUGGCGUAUAA